CCUGUACCACCAUUAUUCGUUUUAAGCGAUGGGGGGACGCAGUAGGAUAGGCGAAGCGUGCUGUUGGAGUGCACGUCCAAGCAGUGAGAUUGAGUGUUAGGCAAAUCCGGCACUCUUAAGAUUGAGCUGUGAUGGGGAGAGGAACUUGUUCCUCGAGUCGUUGAUUUCACACUGCCGAGAAAAGCCUCUAGCUAGAAUAACGGUGCCCGUACCGCAAACCGACACAGGUAGUCAAGAUGAGAAUUCUAAGGUGAGCGAGCGAACUCUCGUUAAGGAACUCGGCAAAAUGACCCCGUAACUUCGGGAGAAGGGGUGCUCUUUGAGGUUCACGCUUCGAAGAGCCGCAGUGAAUAGGCCCAAGCGACUGUUUAUCAAAAACACAGGUCUCUGCUAAACCGUAAGGUGACGUAUAGGGGCUGACGCCUGCCCGGUGCUGGAAGGUUAAGAGGAGUGGUUAGCGCAAGCGAAGCUACGAAUCGAAGCCCCAGUAAACGGCGGCCGUAACUAUAACGGUCCUAAGGUAGCGAAAUUCCUUGUCGGGUAAGUUCCGACCCGCACGAAAGGCGUAACGAUUUGGGCACUGUCUCAACGAGAGACUCGGUGAAAUCAUAGUACCGGUGAAGAUGCCGGUUACCCGCGACAGGACGGAAAGACCCCGUGGAGCUUUACUGUAGCCUGAUAUUGAAAUUCGGUACAGUUUGUACAGGAUAGGUAGGAGCCU
Molecule: ribosomal RNA, 721 nt
Filed under: Staphylococcus pseudintermedius
Lineage: Bacteria; Bacillati; Bacillota; Bacilli; Caryophanales; Staphylococcaceae
Description: partial 23S ribosomal RNA
Rfam family: Bacterial large subunit ribosomal RNA
Source: RNAcentral